Molecule: ribosomal RNA, 253 nt
Filed under: uncultured bacterium
Lineage: Bacteria
Description: partial 16S ribosomal RNA
Rfam family: Bacterial small subunit ribosomal RNA
Source: RNAcentral
UACGUAGGCAGCAAGCGUUGUUCGGAGUUACUGGGCGUAAAGGGUGUGUAGGCGGCUUCGUAAGUUCGGUGUGAAAUCUCCCGGCUUAACUGGGAGGGUGCGCCGAAAACUGCGAAGCUGGAGCGCAGGAGAGGAAAGCAGAAUUCCUGGUGUAGCGGUGAAAUGCGUAGAUAUCAGGAGGAAUACCGGUGGUGAAGGCGGCUUUCUGGACUGCUGCUGACGCUGAUGAGCGAAAGCUAGGGGAGCAAACGGG